UGAGGCUCGACGGAACGUUAUUUUGACCCCAGUAUUGGCAUAGUUGUGGUGUACAAGGCUAUUGAAGUGAAUGAGGUAAUGGUUGGAAGAGGCAUCGCUUGAAAGGAGCCUACUGGUGAUGCGGAAAUGUGGAGGAGACUACCGUUGUGAUGGGACCAGUGGUGGACCGAUGAAUCAAGUCUUAGACGAUGCAGAGCAGAAGUGUUAUUGAAUGAGGGAAUGGUUGGACGAUGAGGCAUCGCAUGAAAUGAGGCGACUGGGGAGUUAGGAAUGUGGAGGAGAGACCCCCAUUGUGAUGGAACGAGUGUUGACCGAUGAUUGAAGUGGGACAGUGUUGAGCCGAAGGUGGUGGUAGAUGUCCCGGUUGAGGUAGAUGUGGUACUUGAGUUAGCAGAUAUGGAGGUGAGAGGUUUGAGUACCUUAGAAGUGGACAACAUGGUGUGUAGGGACAGAGCUGCAAGUGUUGACGUGUUCCAUACAAGAUUGAGGAGAUCAUGUUUGAUUGGUAGAGGAAAUCCGACCCAGCGGACUUUGACGUACAAGGGAAGCAGAGGCUGAUGUGCAAGAAGUGUUGAAGACAAGGAUCACGCGACCCACACCGUGACGAACAGAACUGAAAGGAGUUGAGAUUGGGCAAGAUAUGAAGUAUCAUUCACGAUGACCCUUCUAUUUAAUGUAUGUGUACACUAGUAAAGGUGGAUGUGAAUUGAAAUAUCGAGUUUAAAUAGCAUUUUUAUGGUGGAAGGGGAAAGUGUUUUGUUUUAAAGUAGAGAUCAUAAUGUAGUAGUAGUGAGGGGGAAUAAUGUGUUUCUUUUGGUUAAGUAGUAUCUCCUGAAACAGUGUUGCCAUGAUAGAGUUGGCAAAAUGUCUUGGUGGUGAAACCCCCUCACUGUUUGGGUCGUUACCCCCAUUAGGGUGUGUGUUUGGCUUCUGGCGGAGUGAUGUUCCAUGGGUCAGUCCUCUGUUUUUCAGCUUUAUGCUCCUGCUGCUGCCUUUACCAAUGUUGCCAGGCCCCUUUUCCUUUUACUCGUUUAAUUCACCCCCCCCCCCUGUUGUCCUAUCAAACUCAUUUGCUGGCGAGCUUUUGCCUGUUAUGAUUGUUUGUACCUUUGGUAUGGUGGUUAAGGAGGCAUACUCUUGCACCCGUAGAAGUGUAGUACCCAACGUCUGGAGCGAGAGGACCGUUUUAUUGUCAAUCGUCGUUUCGUCAGUGAACCGGCUCUGGACGGACUGAGGGUUGUUAAGGUGUUGUUUGUGGGACGUAUACUGACGACUCACCCCUGGGGUGGCCCUGGAAGAUCGGCGAUAGCUUGUUUGGUGUCCUGCCAGUAAGUGUGGGUCCAUGGUGGUUGUGGGGGCACAUUCGUGAAUGAAAGUUUUAACUGGUUUUCAUUGCUGAUAAUGUGUCGUUUGUAGUUUGUGAGGGUGGUUGGCUGGGGGACGAAGCACCCGAGUGUGAGUGUUGUAAGACGAGGCGGUUUUACUGUGAAGCGGGUAGUUCUUCGUCCCUCUGUCACUUUAUGGUCAUGGCGUUGAUUACAAAGAUUUCAGGAAUGUAUUAUUUCUUGACAGUCGUUUGUGUUGGUCGUCCGAUGUUUCUUAGGUCCGUGUUGAAUGCUAUAAGGGCCUUAACCUACUUCAGGUGUUGAAUCAUACUUGUUUUGGAUGAGAUAGACGAGCGCUCGUGUAUAAGCUUGAAUAUGGUUUGCGUGCGUACUGUUGUGCUUCAAAUGUUGGGCGUUUGGACCAUAGUGGGUAGUGCCUCAGCUGUGGUUUUUUUCGUUCAACUCGUAGCCUCAAGUUGUACGCUGAUACUGUCUGUGCAUAAUUGCCGUGAUCGCUAUCUUGUGGGAUCGUUAAAGCAUCCUCACUCGCCUGUAUCGUGCUUUGACUUGUACCCCUCCUGUAGUUCGUGUUCCUCUUCAUCACGUUGCUGUUUGUUACAAGAAUGUGUUGUGGUUAUUGUUAGUAAUGUUUGUCGUAUUGUUUUGUCGUUGCCCCCGUGGAGGGUGGCCGUUCCCCAAUUGCGUACAUAUGUGAAGCGCAUUACUAAAAUGUUGACCCCUCCUACAUAUGUGAAAUUGGUCUUCGUUAAGCACUUAUCUUGUCAUUCACACUCCGUUCCCAUGUUCAGGACUGGGUGUAUGUGUGGUGACAUUGUUGGUUAGUUUGUUGUUUUUCGUGAGUAGACUUGUGUGGUUUUGAGGUCGUUUAAUCGGGUCCAACCGGUGGUCAUUGAGAAUGAACAUUUGGUGAUUGUUAUCUCUAGUAAAUAUAAGCGUUUCGUUUUGGUUGGUUCCCAGGCAUGUUCGUGUGUGCUGGAUGUUGUGAAUGAAACAUUUACAAAGAUGAUAAUGUAAAGGUAUUAAAGGAAUAUAAUUUGUAAAUCACUAUUGAAGGUUGUUGUUUGUAAAUGGAAUUGAGGAAGAGGUUGUCAUUGUUUGACGUAGAAGUGUGCACGAACAAGAAAUGAGGAGAAACAAGUAGUUUGACGUAGUUAAGAACAGGUUUGGUAAUGUGCAAAUGUGAUAUAUAGGCAAAGCAUAAACAAGCAAUAACGUAAAGAAUAUGUAAUGGUUUGGGCGAGUUUGAGGAAGAAAAUAAUGUAAAUAUUGUAGAGUCAAAAGUAAAUGUUAUUAAACAAUAACACUGGAAAUGUACAAUUAGAGUUGACUUGAAGUAUGUAAAUAUAUAAUUGUUUGAAAUGUAUAAAUGAAAAAAUAUAAUUGUUUAUGUAAGAAAUGUUAUGGAACAAUCAAUAAAAUAUUGAAUGUGAAUACAAAUAGUUGUAUCUGAAAGUGAUAGUUUAAAUGUCAGUAUUGAAUAAUAUUGAGUUGUAUUAAAGUUAGUCCCAAUUUAAUAAUAUUUAAUGAAGAUGAAAAAGGUAAGUAAUACACUUCUUUGUUAAAUAGUAAAGAUGGUUGAAUAGUGAAUAUAAUGGCCAAAUGUG
This is a long non-coding RNA of Procambarus clarkii (red swamp crayfish), 2950 nucleotides long. RefSeq lists it as uncharacterized. NCBI's taxonomy places the organism in Eukaryota, Metazoa, Arthropoda, Malacostraca, Decapoda, Cambaridae. The record is from RefSeq and is a predicted model, not a curated record.